GAUGAACGCUGGCGGCGUGCCUAAUACAUGCAAGUCGAGCGAACGGACGAGAAGCUUGCUUCUCUGAUGUUAGCGGCGGACGGGUGAGUAACACGUGGAUAACCUACCUAUAAGACUGGGAUAACUUCGGGAAACCGGAGCUAAUACCGGAUAAUAUUUUGAACCGCGUGGUUCAAAAGUGAAAGACGGUCUUGCUGUCACUUAUAGAUGGAUCCGCGCUGCAUUAGCUAGUUGGUAAGGUAACGGCUUACCAAGGCAACGAUGCAUAGCCGACCUGAGAGGGUGAUCGGCCACACUGGAACUGAGACACGGUCCAGACUCCUACGGGAGGCAGCAGUAGGGAAUCUUCCGCAAUGGGCGAAAGCCUGACGGAGCAACGCCGCGUGAGUGAUGAAGGUCUUCGGAUCGUAAAACUCUGUUAUUAGGGAAGAACAUAUGUGUAAGUAACUGUGCACAUCUUGACGGUACCUAAGCAGAAAGCCACGGCUAACUACGU
Molecule: ribosomal RNA, 496 nt
Filed under: uncultured bacterium
Lineage: Bacteria
Description: partial 16S ribosomal RNA
Rfam family: Bacterial small subunit ribosomal RNA
Source: RNAcentral